Molecule: ribosomal RNA, 198 nt
Filed under: uncultured bacterium
Lineage: Bacteria
Description: partial 16S ribosomal RNA
Rfam family: Bacterial small subunit ribosomal RNA
Source: RNAcentral
ACGCUCGACACCUACGGGAGGCUGCAGUGGGGAAUAUUGCACAAUGGGGGAAACCCUGAUGCAGCGACGCCGCGUGAAGGAAGAAGUAUCUCGGUAUGUAAACUUCUAUCAGCAGGGAAGAAAAUGACGGUACCUGACUAAGAAGCCCCGGCUAACUACGUGCCAACAGCCGCGGUAAUCUGAGCGGGCUGGCAAGGC